RNAcentral lists this ribosomal RNA (791 nucleotides) under uncultured bacterium. RNAcentral's name for it is "bacterial SSU rRNA". It matches the Rfam family "Bacterial small subunit ribosomal RNA", at positions 8 to 794 of the family's 1533-position model. The record is from RNAcentral.
AGAGUUUGAUCAUGGCUCAGAUUGAACGCUGGCGGCAUGCUUUACACAUGCAAGUCGAGCGGCAGCGCGGGGGCAACCCUGGCGGCGAGCGGCGAACGGGUGAGUAAUGCAUCGGAACGUACCCUGGAGUGGGGGAUAACGCCGCGAAAGCGGCGCUAAUACCGCAUAUGCUCUGAGGAGGAAAGCGGGGGCUCGCAAGACCUCGCGCUCUGGGAGCGGCCGAUGUCCGAUUAGCUAGUUGGUGGGGUAAAGGCUUACCAAGGCGACGAUCGGUAGCUGGUCUGAGAGGAUGAUCAGCCACACUGGGACUGAGACACGGCCCAGACUCCUACGGGAGGCAGCAGUGGGGAAUUUUGGACAAUGGGCGCAAGCCUGAUCCAGCCAUGCCGCGUGCAGGAUGAAGGCCUUCGGGUUGUAAACUGCUUUUGUACGGAACGAAAAAGCUCUCUCUAAUACAGGGGGUGAAUGACGGUACCGUAAGAAUAAGCACCGGCUAACUACGUGCCAGCAGCCGCGGUAAUACGUAGGGUGCAAGCGUUAAUCGGAAUUACUGGGCGUAAAGCGUGCGCAGGCGGUUAUGUAAGACAGAGGUGAAAUCCCCAGGCUCAACCUGGGAACUGCCUUUGUGACUGCAUAGCUGGAGUGCGGCAGAGGGGGAUGGAAUUCCGCGUGUAGCAGUGAAAUGCGUAGAUAUGCGGAGGAACACCGAUGGCGAAGGCAAUCCCCUGGGCCUGCACUGACGCUCAUGCACGAAAGCGUGGGGAGCAAACAGGAUUAGAUACCCCGGUAGU